Molecule: ribosomal RNA, 261 nt
Filed under: uncultured archaeon
Lineage: Archaea
Description: partial 16S ribosomal RNA
Rfam family: Archaeal small subunit ribosomal RNA
Source: RNAcentral
CAGCCGUAAACUAUGCGCGUUAGGUGUACUGGUGACCACGAGUCACCGGGGUGCCGAAGGGAAACCGUGAAACGUGCCGCCUGGGAAGUACGGUCGCAAGGCUGAAACUUAAAGGAAUUGGCGGGGGAGCACCACAAUGGGUGGAGCCUGCGGUUUAAUUGGACUCAACGCCGGAAAUCUCACCGGAUAGGACAGACAUAUGAUAGUCGGGCUGAAGACUCUACUUGAUGAUCUGAGAGGAGGUGCAUGGCGUCAGUGACU